RNAcentral lists this ribosomal RNA (769 nucleotides) under uncultured Acidobacteriota bacterium. RNAcentral's name for it is "bacterial SSU rRNA". It matches the Rfam family "Bacterial small subunit ribosomal RNA", at positions 70 to 818 of the family's 1533-position model. The record is from RNAcentral. Lineage: Bacteria; Pseudomonadati; Acidobacteriota.
CGAAGGGGCUUCGGCCCUGAGUAGAGUGGCGAACGGGUGAGUAACACGUGGGUGACCUACCCUCGAGUGGGGGAUAACAUCCCGAAAGGGGUGCUAAUACCGCAUGACAUCCUGCCUUUGAACAGGCGGACAUUAAAGCCGGGGAUCGCAAGACCUGGCGCUCGAGGAGGGGCUCGCGUCCGAUUAGCUAGUUGGUGGGGUAAAGGCCUACCAAGGCGACGAUCGGUAGCCGGCCUGAGAGGGCGGACGGCCACACUGGGACUGAGACACGGCCCAGACUCCUACGGGAGGCAGCAGUGGGGAAUUGUUCGCAAUGGGCGCAAGCCUGACGACGCAACGCCGCGUGGAGGACGAAGAUCUUCGGGUCGUAAACUCCUUUCGAUCGGAACGAAUGGCUGGCGGUCUAAUACACCGCCGGAGUGACGGUACCGAGAGAAGAAGCCCCGGCUAACUCCGUGCCAGCAGCCGCGGUAAUACGGGGGGGGCAAGCGUUGUUCGGAAUUACUGGGCGUAAAGGGCGCGUAGGCGGCCUGCUAAGUCGGAUGUGAAAUCCCUCGGCUCAACCGAGGAACUGCAUCCGAUACUGGCGGGCUUGAAUCCGGGAGAGGGAUGUGGAAUUCCAGGUGUAGCGGUGAAAUGCGUAGAUAUCUGGAGGAACACCGGUGGCGAAGGCGGCAUCCUGGACCGGUAUUGACGCUGAGGCGCGAAAGCUAGGGGAGCAAACGGGAUUAGAUACCCCGGUAGUCCUAGCCCUAAACGAUGAGUGCUU